RNAcentral lists this long non-coding RNA (443 nucleotides) under Homo sapiens (human). RNAcentral describes it as "non-protein coding lnc-USP6NL-10:1". The record is from RNAcentral. Lineage: Eukaryota; Metazoa; Chordata; Mammalia; Primates; Hominidae.
GAGGAAGUUGCCUCUCUCUGGCGCCUGCAUUCAAUGAACGUUUGUAAUGUUAGCAGGUGUGGACCUUGAGGAGAUUUUCUCUCCCUGGCUGCCCAAUUAUCAUUUUUAGAGAGGCAAUGCGAUAAUUGCUGAACGAUGUCACCUGACAUUCCUAGCGGGUGGGAGAGAGCCCUCUCCUGCCCCGCUCAUUGCCUAACUACCUGUAACAGGUGUGUGGGUGAGUGCUCCCUGUGAUGGAACGGUGUCCUGUUCAGGACUGGGUGCCACCUGGCACCUUGAGCUGCCAGGACCGGCUCGGGCUGCUCGCGAUCCCAAACUAGAACAAAUGGAAAUGUUCAGUUGUCUAGCUCACAGGGAUAUCCACAAGCCAGACCCAGAAAGCCUUUGCUACCAUUGAUGAAGAUGCCAAGUCCACAGCCCAACAGCCAGAAGACCCUUGGUCU